RNAcentral lists this ribosomal RNA (492 nucleotides) under uncultured bacterium. Its description in RNAcentral is "partial 16S ribosomal RNA". It matches the Rfam family "Bacterial small subunit ribosomal RNA", at positions 29 to 507 of the family's 1533-position model. The record is from RNAcentral.
AGUGAACGCUGGCGGUAGGCCUAACACAUGCAAGUCGAACGGCAGCACAGUAAGAGCUUGCUCUUACGGGUGGCGAGUGGCGGACGGGUGAGGAAUACAUCGGAAUCUACUUUUUCGUGGGGGAUAACGUAGGGAAACUUACGCUAAUACCGCAUACGACAUACGGGUGAAAGCAGGGGAUCUUCGGACCUUGCGCGAGUGAAUGAUCCGAUGUCGGAUUAGCUAGUUGGCGUGGUAAAGGCCCACCAAGGCGACGAUCCGUAGCUGGUCUGAGAGGAUGAUCAGCCACACUGGAACUGAGACACGGUCCAGACUCCUACGGGGGGCCGCAGUGGGGAAUAUUGGACAAUGGGCGCAAGCCUGAUCCAGCCAUACCGCGUGGGUGAAGAAGGCCUUCGGGUUGUAAAGCCCUUUUGUUGGGAAAGAAAAGCAGCAGGUUAAUACCCCGCUGUUCUGACGGUACCCAAAGAAUAAGCACCGGCUAACUUCGUG